Juglans microcarpa x Juglans regia is the source of this 324-nucleotide long non-coding RNA. RefSeq lists it as uncharacterized. Lineage: Eukaryota; Viridiplantae; Streptophyta; Magnoliopsida; Fagales; Juglandaceae. The transcript is spliced from 3 exons. The record is from RefSeq and is a predicted model, not a curated record.
CACCACCCAAGCUUCUAUUCCUCGACGCCGUUAGCCUUCCCAACGGAAGCUAGGGUCGUCUUCUCCUCCCCAUACAACUGGGUGACGUGUGAUUGGGGAUUUGAAGCAUUUGGGUUUUUUCAAUGAUUUUGAGCAUAUCGGAGGUGGAGAUUGUCGACCGAGACUCUUGGAUGUAUCAUGCAUGCAUAUAAGGUUCAAAAGACAUGUCUAUUCCUCCAACUGCUACACACUGUGUAUGUAUUGGUGCUAUUGUUUCCAUUGUUGUUAGAGAGGAAACCUUUUGGCUAUACUCAUUUACUUCAUAUGAUAAAGCUCUACUUGUUU